This 245-nucleotide ribosomal RNA is filed under the name uncultured bacterium. RNAcentral's name for it is "partial 16S ribosomal RNA". It matches the Rfam family "Bacterial small subunit ribosomal RNA", at positions 791 to 1035 of the family's 1533-position model. The record is from RNAcentral.
UAGUCCACGCCGUAAACGAUGGGUGCUAGGUGUGGGCGGUGUCGACUCCGUCCGUGCCGAAGCUAACGCAUUAAGCACCCCGCCUGGGGAGUACGGCCGCAAGGCUAAAACUCAAAGGAAUUGACGGGGGCCCGCACAAGCAGCGGAGCAUGUUGUUUAAUUCGACGCGACGCGAAGAACCUUACCAGGGCUUGACAUGCACGGGAAUGUCGUAGAAAUACGGCAGCCCUUCGGGGCUCGUGCAC